This 14596-nucleotide long non-coding RNA is filed under the name Lotus japonicus. RNAcentral describes it as "long non-coding RNA (LJAP_LNC002111)". The record is from RNAcentral. Lineage: Eukaryota; Viridiplantae; Streptophyta; Magnoliopsida; Fabales; Fabaceae.
ACCCCAUGGCAUGGUCAUGGUACCAUAGAUUUCCUGGUUGUUGGUUGUUUGGGUAGUGAUAGGUCUUCUUGGUCCAGGUGGGUCCUCUCUUUUUGAACUGUGCAGUGAACCAUGAAUUUGCGUUUCCGUCGCUCUCGGGCUCGUGGAUCCCGCCGUGGAGGUGAACCACCGUGGGGAUGCCGCCGGAGGUGUUGGGUGAGGCGACGGGGAUAGAUGGAUCCCACGGGAGGAUGUGGUGUGGGGGGAGUUUAUUUUGCCACCUCACGUGGGUCCCAACUCCGUGGAGGGCCUCGAUGGUGGGACCAGGUACUGAUGCGGUGCGUUUGGUUAAUCCAUAAGCAUAAACCCUUGUUGGAAGGAGAUCCUUGUGGAAUUUCUAAAAAACAAAAGGGACAUUCUAAAUUUUUUUUGAAAGAAAAUAAAUAUUAUUUCUAAUUGAAACUUGAAAUAGAAAUAAUUAGAUACUAAAAAAAGACUUGCUACUAAGUAAUUAUGUUUUAAUUGUUUGUGCAAUUAAACUUACAUAUAAAUGUUGUUUUGAGUUUUGGAAAGUCAAAAAAUAUAUUAAAUGAAGAAUAACAUAGUGGAGAAUGUGUUAUCAAUGUCAUUUAAUGAUAAUACACUGUCAAUACUGUCAAUGUAAACAUUUUUUACAGAAACAUCAAAUCAUGAGUCGCCAAAUCAGAAAUUAACUUUUAAAUUUAAUUAAAAUAAAAUUUAACAUUAAUGAUUUUAAUUUAAAUACGUGGCAUUCAAUUAUUGGACGUUUGUGUAAAAAUAUUUUUCACUGACUAUGCACAAUCAUUUUUUUAGAAAGCUAAAACUAUGCACAACCAUAUUAAACUUUAUUUGUAAACGUGUCAACAAACUUAUAGGGAACGGGAAAAAAUAUAAUAAUAUCAUUAUAUUGUCUAAGUCAAAGAAAAUAGGUCAUCACUCUAUAUCUAUACAAGUUUAUAUGGUUAUAUAAUUAUAUAGUCUAACAUGCUUAAACAUAUAAAUAAGCAAUAAGUAUAUAAUUUUUAGAUAUUAUAAUAGAAAUUCAAUGUAGAAAUAAUAAAAUAAAAUUUAAAAUUAUUUAUACAGGUCGUUUUGUUGUGCUUACAAAGCCUUAUGAGUGGCCUAGGGUUGAUAUUUUUAACUAAUUAUUUUUUUUCAAAAAGUCUUGGCAUUUUCUAUUUAUUAAUUUGACAUUACCUUAGCCUGAUGUAGAGGCCAUAGGCCACUGUCAACAGCUUAACCUACUUUUUUUUUAAUGAGCAAACAAUUGCAUUAAAGGGAGUACAAUGAGUACUCAACCCAUAAUACAUAAAGAAUCAAAACAAAGAGACAACAAUCAUAGAAAAAGAAAAACAACCCAAGAAAAUACAGAGUACAAAAGCAUGAAAGAAAAGCAUUCUCCUUCUCUAUCAGCGCCUCUACACGUAAAAAAAGCCAACAAAAGGAAACAGGGCAAGGCUUCGAUCCAGGAACCACUUACAUCCCUAGAGAGAAGUAACCACACAUAGCUUUUACUUCUGUCAAUUAUAAUUUUGCUUUUAUCACGUUUUGUUUUAUGUGUAUAUACAUGUCCUCAAAUGGUAACUUUGAUGAUAAGAGUUGUAUGACAUAUGAGUUGGGUUGGGGAAGUUUCGGAUCAUUCCCUAGCAAGUGCAAUUUUACUCUCUGAUAUAAAAAAAAUGUCUUUUACUAAAUAAAUUAACAAAAAUUAUAAUUAAGUUUGCACCUUUUGAUGGAAAGAAGUGAAAAAAAUAUUAAAAACAAGGAAAAAAACAACAUUCUUUCAACAAGUGAAAUAUAAUGCUAUCCUAGAAUUAAGCACAGGUGACAGGCCAUUGGAUGGAAAGUACACAAAUAAUUUACAUCUUAAAUGAAUUAUUUAAUCAGAAUUUGUACUGUAAUCAAGAUCAUUAGAAAAAGCCAAACUAAAUUUAUGUCUAGCAAGAGGAGAGUGGAUUUUUUUUUUUGCAUGAAUGAUACAAUAAUUUGGAAGAAAACAAACAUACCCAUUUCUUCUUGAACAUGCUAAUCUUGAGAGACUUUGAUAUGGGGACUCCAUUGGAAACCUUGUAGCCAAGGAUUUUGGGCAUAUGAGGAAGCUCAUCCACAAACAUCUCCAACUUGGAUGCAUCUAACAGUUUAUCUUCUGAAGCAGCUAAGGAGGAGGUAAGAAGAGCAUUUAGAAGAGAUAGAAUUAGAGGGAAUAGUUUGAGGAGCAAUGUUGCUCUCUCCAUGGCUGUGGCUAGUGGCUACCUUCAAAAUCAGAACUCAGUGGUUUCAGAGAGAAGGGAAAGUAGUGGACUAUAUAUAGGGAGAGACAAGAAGGGUGUGUGUGGGACGAAGAUUGUGUCAACGAAUUGAAAGUGGCUAUUAUUUGCCACUAGCACAAGAAAUAUCACAAUUAAUCAUAAAGGUAGCUAUUUGCAACUUCACAAUCGGGAAGAGAUCAGAGGACAGAGGCCAACCAACAGAGAAAGACAUAUAGAAAACAUGAUGGAGAAAGAGAGUGAUCGAUAUUGGUUUUCUUUUCUUUGCUCUGUAUGAAUUAAUUAGCUAUUAGAUCUAUCGUGUUUUCACCGCGUAUCAUGAACUGUUGAAGUUUCCAUGUAGGAAAUGAUUUUAACCUCAUUUCUACAUAUAUUUACAUUAAUCUAACACUUACCCUAACACUUUUCUUAAAUCCCAUUUGGCUCGCUUACACAUUAUAUCCCACUUUUAGUUUUGUAAUCAUCACAAAUCAUAUAUCUCAUUUCUAUCUCUUUUGUGAGUUUUGAUUCAUUCAAAUUUUGCUUUCCUUUCUUUUCAUUAAUUUUCAUCUGUUUUCUUUUUUCUUAAUAAUUUUUCAUCUAUUUUCUCUCUUAUUUUUUAAUUACAUCAUCAUUGAUCAUAUUUUAAAUUUCUCUAGGAGCUUCUUUCUAUUUUAGUGUAAAGUGUGUAUGAUGUGUGAAUAAAAUACCUUUUAAUUAAGGCAAAUUCUGUGGUACCCUGAAAUUCUUUUGGGUACGGUACCCCGACUAGAUGAAAUUGUGAAAUUGAAGGGUAGAGAAAGAGAGACAAUUAGACAUUUUAACUUUUGUUGGAAUCUUAGACAUCAUGCUGGUUGUUGCAGCUCUUUUUAAGUCAGAAUCUAGUGGUGGAAGUGAAAAUGUAUGCGAUGUAAGAACAAGAGAGUUAUCAACCACAAUAAUGGUGAGAUAUGAAAAUUGGUGUCUGGCGAACAACAAGAUAAUGGGAUAAUCUACUAAAACGCUCAUGAAUGAUGGUGCUAGAAGCUUUUAGAAGUUAACAAUUUUGGAGAUAAAUAAGUUUUACAUCAUUUAAGGUACCGUACCCUCAAUUAAAUUAAGAUACCACAGCAAGCACCUUUAAUUAAUCUCAUGUCUCUUUGUGUGUGGGCCAAUAUAAUUCACUACGUACUUUCCCUUCUCUGAAACCCUGCCCUGAGUUUUGCCUUUAAUUUGGUCCCCUUCUUGCUGAAUUUCUAGCUACGCCAUUGUCUGCUUGCACAAGUGCACAACAAUGUUUAUCAACUUGUGAAGGACGACGUCUUCGGUGGGUCAAUUAAAUACUGACUCACCGUGGUACACUUAAAAUUUUGGACUGUAAUGACAAUUUUGCCCUUAGCUUAUUUUUUUUCUGGACAAUAAUAUCCUCUCAUUUUCUCCACCGCCUCACUAGCACUCUCUGGUAUUGUGCUACACCUGAGCAGACCUGGAAUUUUCUUCACCCACACAGCUCCUACAAAAAUUUACUACCGUCAUCUUCUUCACACACACAGCCCCUUCAAAAUUGAGAUUUUUUUUCCCAAAAUAAGAAUAAGUUUAUGAAAGAAACCCCAAAAAAAUUACAAUUGAGUGAAGAAAAUCUCAGAUCUGCAAGUUCCAGAGAUGGCUGCACUGUCAACUUUACUCACAAAUGGGUCGAUCUCAACCCAAACAAGGGAGAAGACAGAGGCCAAAAGCACUGACCACAGAAUAACAACGGUUGGAGUACGAUUUUGUUUAUGAAAGAAACCCACAAAAAAUAGAGGAACCCAGACAAAGCAUAUAAGAAGAGGAAGGACCUCACGAACAUGUUCAUCAUUAGAUUAGAAACGUAGACCAAUUGAUUCAAGUGUUAAUUUGACCCAAUCCUGUUCUUGUUCUAAUGUCUUGCUGCCUCAUCCCUUUUAGCGUUUGAUUCAAGUUCUAAUUUGGCCCCUUCAAAUAUUUACCUGAAGCUCUGCCACUGGAUGUGGUUGUCGGGAGGAAAUGAUUUUGCAGCACACUAGUGACUGAGGUAGGAGGAGACAGCCUCAGCUGUGAAUGGUGAGGGUGAAUGGGUAAUAUGUGUAUUGGAUAAUUUUGUAAUUUAACAUUUGAAUCUCAAUCAAUCUCAUCUGUUCAAUUUAAAAUUAAUAUAUCCAAUGGCUAUUUUUAAACUGCACCACGGUGUGACAGUUUUUGACUGUACCACCGAAGCCAACACCUCUCUUCCCUCGAGCUUCUUGUUAUGGUCAAAAUAGAGUUUAGAAAUGGUUGGGUCGAGCCAACUGUCUAACAUAUAUCAGUUUUAGUAAUUAUACACAUUUAAAAUUGCUUUGAAGUGAUAUAAUCCAAACGAAAUUCCUUUUAUCAAACUUAUACCUUUAAGAUAAAAUAUCCAAACAUAAAUCACAUUACCACAAAUUCACAUUAAUCUAGUAAGUAAGAGAGAAAGGAGAAGAGAGAUAUGAGAAAUAGUCUGAUGGAGAUGCUCUGCUAGGUGCAGACUCCCUUGUAUUUAUAUUAUUAGGUUUAGAGUGUUGAACAAGUAUACAUGUGGGUCUGGCCCAUGGACUCUUAACUAUGAUGGGCAUCCAAAUAUUCAUAACACUCCCCCUUGGAUGACCAUCCCUUAAGAAUGUGCCUAAUUAAAACCUUACUAGAAAAAACCCAGUGUGGGAUAAAAACCUAGUGAAGGAAAAAGAGUACAUCAUUCUAUAGUUCGUCUUUGUACAUUGCCUCAUUAAAAACCCUACCAUGUAAAACCCAAUGGGAAAAAAACACUGUUAAGGAAAAAAGAGUGCAAUGCAUUUUAAUUGAGAUCUUUGAGCCGACGAACUCUCAUAUUCCGCACAAGCUUUUCAAAUGUUGUAGUUGGAAGAGCCUUCGUAAAUAAGUUUUCCAAAUUAUCCUUUGAACGAACUUGUUGGAUGUCUACGUCACCAUUCUUUUGUAGAUCAUGAGUGAAGAAGAGCCUCGGUGAUAUUUGCUUUGUCCAUCUCCCAUGAUGUAUCCUUCUUUUGAUUGAGUAGUGCAUGUAGUAUUAUCUUCAUAUAUAGUUGUUGGCGGCAUUUUUCAAGAGGACAAAUCACCAAUAUCAAGUACGCAUUGAAUCACGAAUCUCAGCCAAACGUAUUCUUGUCUUGCCUCAUGUAAUGCUAAUAUUCCUGCAAGGUUAGCUGAGGUGGCUAUCAUAGUUUCUUUCACAGAUCUCCAUGAAAUGGUUGUUCCUCCACAUGUAAACAAGUAACCUGUUUGAGAUAUUUAGACAAAUAUCCAGCAUCUGCAUAACCAAUUAGAUUAAGCUUGGACAUAAAGGGAAAAAAUAAACUCAUAUCUAAUGUGCCUUUAAGAUAACGAAACACUUGUUUUCCAUUCCAAUGUCUUUGUGUAGGUGAAGAACUAUAUCUUGCUAAUAAGUUAAUAGCAAAUGAUAUAUCAAGUCGAGUAUGACUAGCAAGAUACAAUAAUGCUUUGAUAGCACUAAGAUAUGGUACUUCAGGAUCAAGUAAUUCUUCAUUCUUUUCUCAAGGUCUAAAAGGAUCUUUAUUUACAUUUAAUGACCUUAAAGUCAAUAGAGUACACAGUGGACAUGAUUUGUCCAUAUAGAAUCAUUUUAGUACCUUUGCAAUAUAAGUCCUUUGGUACAUAAAUACCUCAUCCUUUAGAUACUCAAUUGAUAAGGCUAGACAAAAGUUUCAUUCUCAACUCUUUUAUCUCAAAUUCUUUCUUUAACAAAUCUACAAUUUGUGUGAGCUCUUCUAGAGUCUCAAUAAAUCAUUGUCAUAAACAUUAAUUAUGGCAUAAACAAUCUCAUAUCUCAUCAUAAAUAUGUAUGAGUUUGUUGGGUCAUUUUGUGACCGUCCUUAAGAAAAUAAUCAUCUAGAUUGCCUCAAUCUAGUAAUUUGUUCAUUGUUGAGAACAUGAAUUGUGUGCUUUAGGCAUCUUACAAUCUUCAAGGAGUUUUAUAGAGAUAUCAAUCUCAAGUGAGUCAUACCAAUAAGUUGUAACUCCAAGUAUCCACCACGAUUGUCACUUGUUUGUCUUAAAUAUGACAACAUUAUUUCACUUUACUACAAAGACUCUUUAAGCCUUAUCGUCUUUAUACCUUUAGGGUAUAGAUAUGAGGUCCAAAGACCCUUAAAUUCAACAAAUGAAUUGCUUCUUUCUAUUUAUGGCCAAUCACACCCAUUCAUUUUCGGGUUCAAGAUUCUCGCACAUAUUUCUAAUAUUGAGCGCUACUUCAUCAUGUUGACAAUUCUUUAUGUUCUUGGUUCCUUGUGUUAACUUGUAGAGACAAAAUCAUAUGAGAUCUCUUAAAUAAAUAAUUACAGGUACCUGAACCUCUUCAGGAGGAAUAAACAUUUUUGUAGUCUCUACACUUUUCAAGAUAGUUUGCCUCCUCAACAAGACCAUCAUCCUUCUCUAGGAUAUAUAUUUUUGAACCAAGUUUUAGGCAUGCCUUAACCUAAUAAUAAUGACAAAUUUUCCAACUGGGAUAUCAAGUUAGAGAAGGGUAUUUGCAGCAUAUAAGGAAUUUAAUAAUUCCUUUUAGGUCAGAGAAUGCAUCUUUUGAACUUCUGGUUCAUAGUGCGAGUAUACAUAUGCAUUCUUUACAAAUUUUCAGAGCUGCUUAAUUUCCUCUCCCCCCAAUGCUGAGAAACAACAAGUAAGAUAUAAAAUAUAUAUAUCGGUACUGGCUCAAAUUGAUUACAUAAUCUCAGCUUUCCUUGUGGUCCCACCUUAGUGCGUUGUGGUGGAGCGAUUCAAAAUAUAUAACGCACAUUGAAAAUUCUUAGAUGAGAGAUAUUAGGUUCCUGACCAUGAACCGAUUGCAAUUGGGAGAAUUCUAAUGAAUUGUUGGCUUGAUGCGUGUCAAUGCUGCUAAUUGCAAUAUCACAUGUCCAUAAAUAAGGAUAUUUGUUCUCAUAUGUAAUUGUCUAGCUAUAAAUAUGAGGCAUUUAAUUAAACAAAUCAGCUAGAUAAUUUGAAUACGAACAUGUGCAACUAGAUAUUCAAAAUCAUGUCAUUUACCAACUUGAUCAAGGUUGGAAUUUUCACUCUAUCAAUAUUGAGAGUUGAUGACAUAUAUUUGGUCAUUUAGUCGAUGCAUCGAUAAAUUUAUGAAAUACUUAAAUGACCCAUAAAAAGAGUGAAUAUGUGCACAUGUAUCGCAUCUAAUAUACUCAAGAGUAUGCGGGAUUCAAACCCAUAUAUUUAACCAAUUAUUAAUUGGUAAUGAGAACAAGAUAUAAGAAUUCAUUAUAUUGAAGAAUCUUUAGGUUCUUCGAUGGGGACUCAUAUGAAUUCAUAUACUUUCGCAUCAUAAGACUCGGGAUGGUCUAACCGGUCAUGCAUGCCAAUCACAUUCAAUUUGUUCCAUAUAUAGAACUUUAUCAUUCAAAAUAAUACUUCAAUGUUUGAAGUAAAAUUUUCUGGCAUUUUAAAUCCUUCAAGGAUUUUGAUAUUUUCAACCCAUAGUUUAUCGUUACAUCAAUUAGAUGUAAAUAAAGUCCUUCAAGACUUUCAAAUUAAUAAGGAAUAUGUGUACAUGACAAUUGUGUCACAAGAUGAGUAUUACAUCUCAUAAUUUCCUUUAACUCAUAUCCAUCGCAUGGAAAACACAAUAGGUUUGACAUAUUUACAUGUCUGGAUUACUACCAAUCCAAGCAAUAUCUAACAACAGUUUUUAUAUUGCUCCUUAUCUUUCUAUACUUUGAUACCAAUUUAGGGGAAGAUAAAGGGAGCAGAAAGCAUGAGAUCAUGCGCCAAUGUGAGACUCUAACUCACACUUCAAUUCUCAACAUUCUCCCCCUAAGUGUGAGUCACAACCAUAUUAUUAUGCUCCCCCUCAACAAAUUAUUAGCAAUUGCACUGCAAUUCGCUUCAUCACCGUGUCAAUAGGACAUGUUGUCUGACCACCACAUUGUGUCAAGAAGACUUUCAAUAUGAGGAGUCAUUAUCAUGGUCACAUCAACCAUUAAUUCAAAUACCAUUUUUAGGAUUGCAACCGCAUCUGGGGUUGUUUAUUCAAAAGAAAAUAUAAGAUUAUUGAUCAAUAGAUCUUUUCAAGAGUGUCAAUGAUCCAUUUUAAGAUAUUGCUUUGAAAUUUCAUAGGCUUCUUCUAGAGAGCCACCACAAAAGUUUCAUUUCAUGAAACAAUACCAUAUAUGCCAUUGGAUGUCCUUCAGGGACAUUUGACCAUGCGUUGAUCUAAAUGAUGACAACUUUUGCCAUGUUUGUUGAAAUAUUCACUUCAGGAAAUAUCUCAAUCAUUCCUUAAUAUAGCUACUUCUGUAGCUUACAUGAUAGACACAUGUCUUUCAAAUCAACUUGAUCAUUUAUAAUGAUAACGAUAUAGUUCUUCAGGAACUACAAUAUAAAUAUUGACAAAAGACUAUAGAGUCUUCUUCUUUUGUUUAUUUCAAAAGGCUAAGUUUGUUUAACUAUUCCUUUAUGAUACAAGAAGGAAGUCCAAAUAUAUGUAAAUAAAUUUGUUCAAAAUAAUUAAACUACAAUGCUUCUGGAUUGUAGGCUAUGAAUCUUCAUGAUUCUUUCAAAAUAAUUCAACUACAGUGCUUCCGGACUGUAAGGCUAUGAAUCUUCUGAUUCAUGCAUAAUAAUUCAAUUACAGUGCUUCUGGACUGUAAGGCUAUGAAUCUUCCUGAUUCAUGCAAAAUAAUUCAAUUACAGUACUUCUGGACUGUAAGGCUAUGAAUCUUCAUGAUUCAUGCAUAAUAAUUCAAUUACAGUGCUUCUGGACUGUAAGGCUAUGAAUCUUCCUGAUUCAUGCAAAAUAAUUCAAUUACAGUGCUUCUGGACUGUAAGGCUAUGAAUCUUCAGGAUUCAUGCUCAGUACUAUGGUACUUCUGGACUCAUAGAUAAAUGAUUCGAAGAAGAAUGAGAAGAAAGAAGAAGGAGAAUUUUUUUUUGUAAAAUUAUAACCUUUCACAUGGAUGUGGUACUUACUCUGGAAGUGAUACUUACUCUUUCACUUAUGAAUUAUGAAUUAUGAAGAGACUAUCGUGCUGAUAACGUGUUGUGAAUAAAGCGUAGCAAGUAAGAGAGAAAGGAGAAGAGAGAUAUGAGAAAUAGUCUGAUGGGGAUGCUCUGCUAGGUGCAGACUCCCUUGUAUUUAUAUUAUUAGGUUUAGAAUGUUGAACAAGUAUACAUGUGGGCCUGACCCAUGGACUCUUAACUAUGAUGGACAUCUAAAUAUUCAUAACAAAAUUCACAUUACUACAAACUCACAUUGAUUUAAACUCAGUUUUGCAAACCCACAUUAAUUUGAACCAUAUUUUGCAAACUUAAAUCCAAAACCACACUUCAUAUUUCCUUCGCCUACUCUAAUUCCAGGUGAAAGUUAACUCUACAAAUUUCUCCAUGUACUUCAGAAACAUUAUAGGAAUUUAUUUGGAAACCUAUAUUGCAUUUAGACUUGGUUUAGUAGAGGGAGACUUUGAUAGUGAGAGAUGGGAAUAGAAAGUUAAGGGAUGAGGAAGCAUGUGUGUUUGGUGAGUGAGAGAUAGAGGAGAGAAAAAGUGGUGGGACCCACCAUUUUUAUUAUCUCUUCAAAUUGGCAAGAGAUGGACCGGUCUCUUUUUUUUUCGGGACAUUUCUAGCGGUCUAAGACCCCAGUACCCGCAUGAGACCGUUAGAAAGUAUUCCAUAUUAAAAAUAAUUAUUUUUAAUCUCAAAUCACCUUUUAUUGGUAGUUUGAGACCGAGAAAUUACAUUAUGACUGCCGGAAAGUAUUUUAGAUUAUAAAUAAUUAUUUUUAAACAAGUAAUAUUUUCUGUUCUAUAUCUCUCUUAUCUUUUUAUCAUACCAAACAACCUUUUAAUCCACUUUAUUUCUCAUAUAAUAUUUCUCUCUAAUUUAUUUAUCUCUUUUCUACUCUCUAUUAUCUGUCACUCUAUUCUCUACCAAAGAAAGGGUAAUUCUAAAAGGUUUACAUUGUUCGUGUGUUGGAUAAAUUACAUGCUUAUACAGUAUAAUUUCCAAUGCAUUUAUUUUGAAUAUAAUCACAGUAAUCCACUUGUUGAAUAAGUUUGAAUAACAUCAUUCUUAUGUAAAGGACUACUAUGUAGGAAAACAACUGGGACCGAGAGACAUGCAAUUCAUCUCCCAUUUCUCAUUCAUUUCAUUUAUGAGCACAAGUACGUACAAUUUUGGCACAGUACAUGCAUGCAUGUUAAUUCAUUAGGAGAUUGGUAAACAGUCCACCACUUGGGUCAAAGUCACACGGCGUAGUGAUUGGUGAUGAGCUGCAAAAUUAAUAAAUGAUAUUCAUACAUAUACGUAUAUGCUUCUGCUUUAUGUUUCUUAUUUUUACUAAUCUUUUCACAUUUUCGUCUCAGAAAGGAGAAAGACUCCACGUCUCCACCCUAUAUAUACAUAUUGUUCCCUAGAAAAAGAAUUAAUUAAAUUUCUAAAUGUAGCUAUAAUUGUUGAAAAGAUUUUGCAACUGAUGGAGCUUUUUUAAUAAAAACAAAAAAGCCAAGAUCUCAUGAUACCUCACCUAAUUAAAGAUGAUUAAUUACUUGAUGUCUUGAUCCUACGUACUGAUCAAUGACAGUUUCAACAUGUAUUUGGUAGUUGAACGUACAAUAUGAUAUAACUGAUGGUGAAGACUCUAAUGCUGUAGAAGUAAACAUCCUUGAGGACUAAAUCAACUUAUCAAGUCCCACCAUCGAUCAUGCAUAGUUUUAUUUUUGCUUUUUAAUCAAUCAUAAUUUAAGUCCCACCAUCCUGUUUAAUUUCUAGGGGAGUUGGGGGUUGAGGAAAUUUAAUUUGUACCGUAUAUAUCAUUGACAUUAUUUGACUCUUUAGAUACAUUCAGCUUUCAAAUGAUACAACACAUUCACGCGGUAUCACCAAUUAGAAUUAUUACAUUCACACUCAUAUUUUCUUUUAUUUGAUUUUCACUCAUUUUUUCUUUUUACUUUUUUCAUAUUCUAUUAAAUUUCUUCCUCUCGUGUAUUUCUAUUUCAUUCUGGAUGUAGAGUGGAUUUAAGGUGUGAAAGUACUUCAAAGUUGUGAUUUUUUUAGAGAAGCCAAAAGGCCUGUUGACCUUCUUGCUGAGACUAGUUCAAAAUGGUUUGCAAGAUAUUGGAUAGAGCUUUCCCUGCAGUUAGUGUUGAAAUGUUGAUAUUGUGUGACAUGCACUCUCAGUGUGGGAAUGUUGUGAUAGUUUCCUUUUCUUUGUUUGUUUUUAUUUAUUUAUAAGCACAGCAAUUUUAAUUAAACGAAACGGAAAUAGCAUGCGCUGGAAUGGAAUGGAACUAACAACAGGACAAGCUAGGGUGCUUCUCUUUUUGUUUGUUUGUUAUAUCUUGUUGCCCCUGAAUUUAGGAUUCGAGUACCCCAUUUGACAAAGAUGGAAGCACAACGACUUCUCUACUCUGUUUUUUUAUGCUAAAGAAAAUCUGUUUCUUUUUAAAUUUACAUUUUGAUUUCCUAAUGAUAUGCACAUAUCAUAGUAAAAAUAACAAGGACCAAAAAAUCAUAGUAAAAAUAACUUGGCGUGCAACUUCUUUACUAAAUCAUAACAAAACGCGCGGAUCCACUCCUUGCAACUAAGAUUAAUAGUAGUUCUAAUGCUCAAAUUACACCGAAGGAAAAUAUGUUCUUGAGACUCCCACCACAUCACAUCUGCAAAGAGCACAACAGUUUGGAAUUUGCACACCUUUCUUCACAAGAUUGGUUCUGCAAGGAAGAGAGUUAUGGAUAAAACAAAAUAGGAAAUGCUUCUUUUUGGGAGGCAUCUGCAAAUUCCACAAAGAUAGAUUUCCAAGGGAAAUCAUUCCCUAAUGAAGAACCAGUUUAAUUUGGUUACUGGUUUGAACCAAAUGCAGCCUCCUAUAAGCCUAUUUAACAGUAAAAUGACCAUCUUUUUAUUAAGGCAAAAAAAUGUAUAUGAAAUAUAGCACAAGCCACAAGGGGUGCUAUAACCCAUAUACAAAUAGACUACAUGAAGGUAAAUUGAAAAAAAAAACCCAGACAAAGGGAAAGGGGUGCUCAAGUUGCAGAACCCAGGAAGGAGUUCAAGCAAAAUGAAAAUGAUGCAGAAUUUCCCCUACAUGGGUCACGUGUUCCAGCACCAAGAUAUCCAUGAUUUCCCCACCAAUUCCAUAUAUUGUUGCUACAGAUCCAGCAAAGGGUAUCCCAAAACAGCCCCAACCCACCACAUUAAUAAUAGCAGCAAAUUUAUUAACAUAAUCUAUGCAACAUAUAUACUCAUUCAACUAGACUAUAUCUAUACGGCCAGCACCCACCUGGAGUCCAACUUUAAUCACAUUUGCAACUCUUCAGUAUAAUUGGACCAUAAUUCACACAGACAUCACAGAGGGUUUGCCAAGAGAUGUGAGCACGUGGUGACAACGCUCAAAGAAUUAGAUAAAAGAUUACAUGUAAUUUUGUGGAGGACAUUGUGGAUGUUGAUUACAACACAGCAGAUUACAACCAACCAACAUUGACAUAAACACUGUUUUGCAAACUCAAAUCCAAACACGCACUACAACACUUGGAAUUCUCAAAGACAAUGCUAUAAUUCUCAUUGCAUUUUAUUUAGCACAAUAUAGCACACACUUUCCUUCGUUACUGUCAAAUGUCAAUGAUCAAGUAUACAAAUUUCUGCAAAUUCCUAAUCUUUCGUCGCAUCUACUUAUUUUUGUAUAAAUCACCUAAUUAAGAUCUUUCUAACCUUUAAUAUUCCUUGCAAGAAAGUGACAACAUUCACAAUCAUGGUACCAUUUUUUUGGCUACCCUUGAUAAACUUCACUUGAUGAUUUUGAAGGGUCUCAUCAUGGCAUUGUCUUCAUGGUCCAAUACCUGCAUAUAGAUAUGAAUCUUAUGAUUAAUUAGUAGUGGUUUAUAAAAAUAAAAAUAAAAUGCAAAUAAAAAAAAGUAUAUGUACGUACAUGACAAUGAUACACAUAGCCAGGCUCUGCGGUUGCAUCAAACUCAUACGAUGCAUUGGUAUGUAUGUAACCAAAUCUCACCACAAUCCUCGUCACGAACCCUGGUCUCAUCUUGAACACAUUCUUCCACCCUUUCUCAUGACCUGGCACCUCCACCUUCUCCCCUCGUGCAUACUCACCCACGUGGCACUUAAUCGCAUCGUUGAUUUUCACCAUGCAAUCCUUAAACUCAUCCAAAUUAACCACCUUCGUCUGAUCCAACACCUUGAACAAACCCAAAUGAAUGUGAAGUGGGUGAUUAUCAUCCGUCAAGUUUAUCACAUUCCACACCUCAGUGGACCCCUCCUUCGGAGUCUCCGUAACCGGCGCAUCGUACGGUUUCCCAUUCAUGUACAAGUGAGUCGGCUCAUCCUCGCUGCUCGCGUACUCAUACAUAGCAAUGUACCGUGUACGCGACACACCGGAUGAUAAAUCGGUUAAAUCCACACCAGGGUAACUCAACAGUUUUUUCGGAAUCCGUGACGUGUCAACCUGCUUACCGGGUAAGAUGGUAAACUUCAUAACCUUACCGGUAAAUUCAUCAGUGGGAUCACCGGAAGGGUAAGGAUACGCUGCAUCGUUGGCCAGAAUAGCUACAUUGCUCUUUGACUCUGAAAAGUCAACAAUAACAUCAGUGAUCUCAGAUGGCCCCAGUAAGGUUUCAUUGGUGGUGAUCGGUUUCUCGAUGUAAGCGGAAUCAGAUGCCACGUGUAUGAAUCUCAGACCGUUGGUGAAGAAGAGUCUGAAGAAUCUCGCGUUGCUAGCGUUGAUGAUGCGGAAUCUGUAUCUACGGCGGCGAACGGUGAGGCGUGGCCAGGCUUUGCCGUUGACGAUGAUGGCGUCGCCGAAAUACUCCGGCUGCCACUGCGGGUGGAUAGAAGGGUUGUUUCCGGUGGAGUUCAUGUAGAUCGAACCGUCGCUCCGGAAGCUGCGAUCGAACAAGACCAACGGCCGAUCUAGCUCGUCGCCGGAGGGUAAUCCAAGCGGGGAUUCGACGGCAGGGUGGCGGAUGAUGUAGGCUCCGAUUAACCCGGCGAGGAGGUUGACCCGGGUCAACCCCAUGGCGUGGUCGUGGUACCAUAGAUUUCCUGGUUGUUGGUUGUUUGGAUAGUGAUAGGUCUUCUUGGUCCAGGUGGGUCCUCUCUUUUUGAACUGUGCGGUGAACCAUGAGUUCGCGUUUCCGUCGCUUUCGGGCUCGUGGAUCCCGCCGUGGAGGUGAACCACCGUGGGGAUGCCGCCGGAGGUGUUGGGUGAGGCGACGGGGAUAGAUGGGUCCCAUGGGAGAAUGUGUUUUGGAGGGAGAUGGUUUUGCCACGUCACGUGGGUCCCAACUCUGUAGUGGGCCUCGAUGGUGGGACCAGGUACUGAUGCUGUGCGUUUGGAUAAUCCGUA